Molecule: transfer-messenger RNA, 397 nt
Filed under: Coxiellaceae
Lineage: Bacteria; Pseudomonadati; Pseudomonadota; Gammaproteobacteria; Legionellales
Also listed under: 5 other names
Description: 2-02-FULL-42-43 sp001801425 Standard tmRNA
Rfam family: transfer-messenger RNA
About the family: Bacterial tmRNA, also known as 10Sa RNA or SsrA, is named for its dual tRNA and mRNA-like properties.
Source: RNAcentral
GGGGGCGAUCGGUUUCGACGAUGGCUUGAGGCCAAAGGGGCAUGCCGAGCAUUUGUGACAAGCUCGUAAAAUAAAAGUCGCAAAAUAUAGUUGCAAAUGAUAGCAGCUUUGCUGGUCACGAACUCGCGGUAGCUGUAUAAGCUAAAGUGAGUCCGGUCGCCGCCUAAAAAACGGCAACAGCCUGUCCCCAGAUCCGCUUAUCGGUUUGGGUCGGCAGUCAGAUAGGUAAGAUCGCGUUGGUGGUGUGGCCCAUGUCAUCAGCGUUAAAUGCAGGGCUCGCCGUUUGGUAAUCCCGUCUGCCGGAAUCUAAACGGUUAACAUCAAAGGCAACACUAAGCAUGUAGAUCCGAUGGAAGACGGUCAGCGGACGCGGGUUCGAUCCCCGCCGCCUCCAUUC